This 460-nucleotide ribosomal RNA is filed under the name uncultured bacterium. RNAcentral describes it as "SSU rRNA". It matches the Rfam family "Bacterial small subunit ribosomal RNA", at positions 26 to 518 of the family's 1533-position model. The record is from RNAcentral.
AGAAUCAACGCUGGCGGCGUGCCUAACACAUGCAAGUCGAACGAGAAAGUGGAGCAAUCCAUGAGUAAAGUGGCGCACGGGUGAGUAACACGUGACUAACCUACCCUUGAGUGGGGGAUAACCUAGAGAAAUCUGGGCUAAUACCGCAUAAUACCUUCGGGUCAAAGGAGCAAUUCGCUUAAGGAGGGGGUCGCGGCCGAUUAGUUAGUUGGCGGGGUAAUGGCCCACCAAGACUAUGAUCGGUAUCCGGCCUGAGAGGGCGCACGGACACACUGGAACUGAAACACGGUCCAGACUCCUACGGGAGGCAGCAGUGGGGAAUUUUGCGCAAUGGGGGAAACCCUGACGCAGCAACGCCGCGUGGAGGAUGAAGUCCCUUGGGACGUAAACUCCUUUCGAUCGGGACGAUAAUGACGGUACCGAGAGAAGAAGCCCCGGCUAACUUCGUGCCAGCAGCCGC